Non-coding RNA from Delphinapterus leucas (beluga whale), 1656 nucleotides. The record is from RefSeq and is a predicted model, not a curated record. NCBI's taxonomy places the organism in Eukaryota, Metazoa, Chordata, Mammalia, Artiodactyla, Monodontidae.
UGCACAGAAAGACCCACAGAUCCAUGUGAAGCUGCGCAGCUGGACCAGGACCACUACUACCGCCCCGCAGGCUCCCUCCUCACACCUCCACCCCCUCCACUGGAGCCCCUGCGAUUGCCCGGAUUGUCCACCCUGGCAGGUGGCAACCACCUGCUGCCUUGGGGUGAUGGCCUCCCACACCUUCACACCUGGGGUGUCACAUCUGCAUGUCACAGGGCCUGCAUUGGUGGCCAGGCAGGUCUAGGCUACUCCUUUUCUUGGUUAAGGGCACCAGCUUCACCCAGAUGCCCCAGGGGGAAAUCACAGGGUCAUCCUAAAUUCUUCCCACCACCCAUGGGCUUCCAGGAGGUCAGAGGCCAUCACAGCCCCUAAUCCACCAGCCCAGGCCUGCAGGAAAGGGAAUCACCCUUAUUUUCCUGUUGCCAAAAGUCAUGUUUUGCUCCCAUUCUGCCAGGGUGGUGGUGGAAACAUCAUCUCGGGCACUUGGGGGUCCCCAACGCUUUACCUGGAGCAGUCUGAAUACCAGGAGAUGGGGUAGGGAUCUCAGGCCUUUAAAGGGGAAGACCUCUGCUCUCCCACCCAUACUGCCCUGUCCACAAAGACACAUUGCAGGGUGGCCGGCUGCCCCGCACGCACCCCAGCAGGGCUGACGCUGACCCAGCUUCUUCCUGACGGCUUGAAGCGAAAGGAAGAGGAUGUGCUCAGGUGGUCAGACUAGGAGCUCUUUCCUGCCUCUUCAUCCCCUGCCCUCGGCGUGCCUCCUGGCCCAUCCCCACCUCAGCCUCCUCCUGGCAGGGAGCCCCCUGGACCACGUCUUGCAAGACAAGGAGCUCUCCGGGUUCAGGGCCUGGCGGUCAGCUCAGUGCACCAAGUCCACCAGAAACUUGGUUCCUCCACCUCUCUCAGCUGUGGCUGGACGAGCCCCAUCCUCACACUACCACUGUGGCAGCUCCCACUAGCCUGUCCCCUGCAGACCCUUCCAGGCCACUCAGGGAAGGACCCACCCCAGCACAGCCAGCAGAAGGGCUUCACGUGCCCCAGCCCCGAGGUCCUCACCUCAGCCCUGGAACCUGAAUCACCAAAUCUUGCAAAGGGCAAGGAGACAGAUACCCGCUGGGGUGAGGAAAGGAGGGUUCUCACCCGCCCGCCCAGCGCUGACGUGGGCCCUGCCACCUGACCAGCGUGGGGCCGUGAGGCGGGGCCGGGGGCUUUACCUGGAAGAGCCGUCGAAUCUCCCCACCCAUCUAGGCAUCCUGCCCUCUGUUCCUCCCCGCACCUGCUCAGGACGUCCUUCGAUUGACUGCCCCCCCCCCCGCGCCCCAAGCGCCGAGCACCGAGCACGGGCUCCGCUAGGAGGAUGAGCUGCUGCGGAUGCCGGGGACCCCGAGCGCCCCAUGAGAACCGGCCGGAGGAGACAGCGAGUGAAUGGACCAACCCAGCGCAUCUGCUUACAAGAGUUGAUUAUGCUGGCGAAAUGACACACUUCACCACGUUUGUAACCAGGACACUGAACGAGGGGGUCCUGGAACAGACCUGAAGCUGCUUUUUCCUACCUUGGCCGGGUCUUUUUUUUUCUUUUUUGCGGUACGCGGGCCUCUCACUGUUGCGGCCUCUCCCGUUGCGGAGCACAGGCUCCGGACGCGCAGGCUCAGCGGC